ACAAGCUACUAAGGGCAGUCGGUGGAUGCCUAGGCAUCAAGAGCCGAUGAAGGACGUUGUAACCUGCGAUAAGCCCCGGGGAGCUGGUAAACGAGCUUCGAUCCGGGGAUCUCCGAAUAGGGAAACCUCGAAAGAAACCGGAGUAAUGUCCGGCGACCUCUACCUGAACACAUAGGGUAGUUGGAGGGAACGUGGGGAAGUGAAACAUCUCAGUACCCACAGGAAAAGAAAACAACCGUGAUUCCGUAAGUAGUGGCGAGCGAACGCGGAAGAGGCCAAACCCCGCAUGUGUGAUAGCUAACAGGCGUUGCAUGCUGGGUGUUGUGGGGCCGCUCCGACCGGGCUGUUAACCGGUCAGGGAGUCAAAAAAGAUCAAUGAAGUCGAAGGACUCUGGGAAGUUCCGGCAAAGAAGGUAACACCCCUGUAGACGUAAGUUGAUCUCUCCCGAGCGUCACCCCAAGUAAUGCGGAACCCCUGAAAUUCCGCAUGAAUCUGGCGGGACCACCCGUUAAGCCUAAAUACUCCUUGAUGACCGAUAGCGGACAAGUACCGUGAGGGAAAGGUGAAAAGUACCCCGGGAGGGGAGUGAAAUAGUACCUGAAACCGAUUGCCUACAAUCCGUCGGAGCCCUUCGGGGUGACGGCGUGCCUUUUGAAGAAUGAGCCUGCGAGUUAGUGGUACGUGGCGAGGUUAACCCGUGUGGGGAAGCCGUAGCGAAAGCAAGUCCGAAUAGGGCGACAUAGUCGCGUGCUCUAGACCCGAAGCGAAGUGAUCUAUCCAUGGCCAGGGUGAAGCGACGGUAAGACGUCGUGGAGGCCCGAACCCACUUGGGUUGAAAACCGAGGGGAUGAGCUGUGGAUAGGGGUGAAAGGCCAAUCAAACUUCGUGAUAGCUGGUUCUCCCCGAAAUGCAUAUAGGUGCAGCGUCGCGUGUUUCUUACCGGAGGUAGAGCACUGGAUGGUCUAGGGGGCCCACAAGCUUACCGAAAUCAGCCAAACUCCGAAUGCCGGUAAGUGAGAGCGCGGCAGUGAGACUGUGGGGGAUAAGCUUCAUAGUCGAAAGGGAAACAGCCCAGAUCAUCAGCUAAGGCCCCUAAGAGAUUGCUAAGUGGAAAAGGAUGUGGAGUUGCAGUGACAACCAGGAGGUUGGCUUGGAAGCAGCCACCCUUGAAAGAGUGCGUAAUAGCUCACUGGUCAAGUGAUUCUGCGCCGACAAUGUAGCGGGGCUCAAGCAAUCCGCCGAAGCUGUGGCAUUCGCAUGAUAACCAGGCCUUCGUGGUCCAGGUGUGCGGAUGGGUAGGGGAGCGUCGUGUGCGCUGUGAAGCGGCGGGGUGACCCAGCCGUGGAGAGCACACGAGUGAGAAUGCAGGCAUGAGUAGCGAAUGACGGGUGAGAAACCCGUCCGCCGAAUAUCCAAGGGUUCCAGGGUCAAGCUAAUCUGCCCUGGGUAAGUCGGGACCUAAGGCGAGGCCGACAGGCGUAGUCGAUGGACAACGGGUUGAUAUUCCCGUACCGGCGAAACAACGACCCUGCCGAGGCGAGUAAUGCUAAACACGCAAGAGAUCAGGAGGACUUCGGUCUGAGUGAUCUUGAGUCUGUGACCCAAACUUGUAUUAGGCAAGCUGCGGAGGGACGCAGGAAGGUAGCCCAUCCCGGGUAAUGGUAUUCCGGGCUAAGUGCGUAGGGUGAGAUGUAGGCAAAUCCGCAUCUCGUGAAGCCUGAGACACGAUGGCGAUAAAAAGUGGGUGAUCCUAUGCUGCCUAGAAAAUCUUCGUGAGCGAGUUGUUAGCCGCCCGUACCCUAAACCGACACAGGUGGAUAGGUAGAGAAUACCAAGGCGAUCGAGAGAAUCGUGGUGAAGGAACUCGGCAAAAUACCCCCGUAACUUCGGGAUAAGGGGGACCUGAUGUGUCAAGGCACUAGCUGUCGAAAGCACUGAGGGUCGCAGAGACCAGGCCCAAGCGACUGUUUACUAAAAACACAGGUCCGUGCCAAGUUGAAAGACGAUGUAUACGGACUGACUCCUGCCCGGUGCUGGAAGGUUAAGGGGAAGUGUUAGAGCAAGCGAAGCACCGAACUUAAGCCCCAGUAAACGGCGGUGGUAACUAUAACCAUCCUAAGGUAGCGAAAUUCCUUGUCGGGUAAGUUCCGACCUGCACGAAUGGAGUAACGAUUUGGGCGCUGUCUCCACCACGAACUCGGCGAAAUUGCACUACGAGUAAAGAUGCUCGUUACGCGCAGCAGGACGGAAAGACCCCGGGACCUUUACUAUAGUUUGGUAUUGGUGAUCGGUACAGCUUGUGUAGGAUAGGUGGGAGACUUUGAAGCAGGGACGCCAGUUCUUGUGGAGUCAUCGUUGAAAUACCACUCUGGCUGUUCUGGUUAUCUAACCUAGGUCCAUUAUCUGGAUCAGGGACAGUGCCUGAUGGGUAGUUUGACUGGGGCGGUCGCCUCCCAAA
Molecule: ribosomal RNA, 2459 nt
Filed under: bioreactor sludge metagenome
Description: bacterial LSU rRNA
Rfam family: Bacterial large subunit ribosomal RNA
Source: RNAcentral